GAGUUUGAUCCUGGCUCAGGAUGAACGCUAGCGGCAGGCUUAACACAUGCAAGUCGAGGGGUAACAUUGUGCUUGCACAGAUGACGACCGGCGAACGGGUGCGUAACGCGUAUAGAAUCUGCCUUGUACAGGAGGAUAGCCUUUAGAAAUGAAGAUUAACACUCCAUAAUGUAUAGAAGAGGCAUCUCUUUUAUAUUAAAUAUUUAUAGGUACAAGAUGACUAUGCGUCCUAUUAGCUAGAUGGUAAGGUAACGGCUUACCAUGGCAACGAUAGGUAGGGGGUCUGAGAGGAUUAUCCCCCACACUGGUACUGAGACACGGACCAGACUCCUACGGGAGGCAGCAGUGAGGAAUAUUGGUCAAUGGAGGCAACUCUGAACCAGCCAUGCCGCGUGCAGGAUGACUGCCCUAUGGGUUGUAAACUGCUUUUAUACAGGAAGAAACCGUGCUACGUGUAGCACCUUGACGGUACUGUAAGAAUAAGGACCGGCUAAUUCCGUGCCAGCAGCCGCGGUAAUACGGAGGGUCCAAGCGUUAUCCGGAAUCAUUGGGUUUAAAGGGUCCGCAGGCGGUCAAUUAAGUCAGAGGUGAAAGCCCAUCGCUCAACGAUGGAACUGCCUUUGAUACUGGUUGACUUGAGUUAUACGGAAGUAGAUAGAAUAAGUAGUGUAGCGGUGAAAUGCAUAGAUAUUACUUAGAAUACCGAUUGCGAAGGCAGUCUACUACGUAUAUACUGACGCUCAUGGACGAAAGCGUGGGGAGCGAACAGGAUUAGAUACCCUGGUAGUCCACGCCGUAAACGAUGGAUACUAGUUGUUGGGUUUAUUCUCAGUGACUAAGCGAAAGUGAUAAGUAUCCCACCUGGGGAGUACGGUCGCAAGACUGAAACUCAAAGGAAUUGACGG
This 905-nucleotide ribosomal RNA is filed under the name uncultured bacterium. RNAcentral's name for it is "bacterial SSU rRNA". It matches the Rfam family "Bacterial small subunit ribosomal RNA", at positions 9 to 916 of the family's 1533-position model. The record is from RNAcentral.